This 1376-nucleotide long non-coding RNA is filed under the name Zea mays. RNAcentral's name for it is "long non-coding RNA (ZMAY_LNC000142)". Lineage: Eukaryota; Viridiplantae; Streptophyta; Magnoliopsida; Poales; Poaceae. The record is from RNAcentral.
CGGUCACCGUUGCCCCUAUCCCGAGGGUCCUCCUAUGCACCGUGCCUGGCUUCACCGAGUUUGUAAGCUUCUCGCGCCGUCCCCCUCGUCUCUUAUCUUAUCUCGCUAUCCUUAGGCGCUUAUUUCGUUGUUUUUGUAGCCUUUUUUUUAUCGAAGAGCCACUGCCCCGAGGUAGUCCGCGGGGCAUACCCACGCCAUUGGUUCAAUUCCAGGCCCAAGACAGUCGUCCCUACGUGGUUCGGUUCUUCGCAGCCCUCCCUAGUUUCGCAUCGUCCGCGGGCGGAGUCCGAGUGUCGUCGGAGCCCCUGGUCUCACCCAUGCCUCCCCCACGGGCGAUCUAGGAGUUUCCUGCAACGGACGAGGUCGGCUAUGGGCUUCCUUGGCUGAUGCUCUUACCCAAAGGGGAUGUAUAUUUGGCGAAUCACUCCCUAGGAGCACCGGCCUCCCACGUCGAUUGUCAUCUGCGUGGGGUUGCGGUUCCUUCAUUGUCGAGCAAGCUCGCAUCCUGAGGAUGGGGAUGGUUUUUUCAGGGCAUCCGGGGUGCGUGGCCGUCUUGCGGCGAUUGUGAGAGCGUUUUAUUAUCCUUGAGUCUGGACAUGAGUUGUUCGGCAGUGGCCCAGCCUUUUGAGGAGGUGUGAAGCUCGUAACGCUGGGGAGCCAUGACAGCGGGGUCCGAGCUUAGUAGGACAGCAGGGACCGAGCAUCAUGCGACCAAGUCAAGGGAGGUCUCUCUAAGGUCCUAGGCGUACCUUUCCAAAGUGCGACCACUAGGUUUUGAUGUGGAGGGACCUUCGUCUGGGUUUCCAACAUAAGGUGAGGCUCGUGCUCUUUUAUCCUUGACUUAUAGCCCUUAGGGCCCCAACAUUUGUCUCACAGGGUUUCUUGUUUUUGUCACUAAUGGUGCUGAAGGAGGUUUCGCGUGAGGAGGAGCGCCUUCGGGCUCUUAACGCUGAGUGCUCCAGUUUGUCUCCGGCCAUCAACCUCAUAUGUUGUCAUCUCAGGGUUUCAAAGUCGGGGGAGAUGUCCGCACGAUCUCCUCGGAUGGCGCUAAUCUCUGGCUGCGUUCGUGAACUGGAUGCCAUCGCGCUACAGCUCGGGGUCCUGAUUGCUCCGGUCGCUACUCGGACUCUCGGCGAGGACUUGUUCAAGAAGGAUUGAGCUCGCCCGAACGCACCGGUGUUUGGUGGUUUGGCGAGCCCCGAGACCUGAGAGCGUUGGUGGGACCCGUCGUGCGGCGCUCGUCCUACAAUUGCCCAUUUUUUCGUGUUUCCUCAAGAGAAAAGGCAAAUGAUUUAAAUUCUUUCAGGAAAUUUGUACUAGCAGAAAUCUGUUUAAUAAACGUCGUCAGGGUUUUUCACGUCGCGCUUUGUGUUUCA